Molecule: long non-coding RNA, 201 nt
Filed under: Bos mutus (wild yak)
Lineage: Eukaryota; Metazoa; Chordata; Mammalia; Artiodactyla; Bovidae
Description: lncRNA (ENSBMUG00000009003.1)
Source: RNAcentral
GGGGCGUGUCAGUGCGCGUAGCUCGGCGGCGGCGCGGCUGGAAGGAACUAGCUGAAAGAAAAGAAGAGUGCUGAAGAGUUAUUAGCUGUGGUUGGCAGCGUUCACUAGGCCUUUUGGGAUCCCAGUAGAAGAAGAAGAUAUAGGAACUUCUCUGAGCUCAAUGGGUCAGUAAAUAAAAGGGAGAUCCAGGCUCCUUUUGAG